Long non-coding RNA from Phascolarctos cinereus (koala), 951 nucleotides. RefSeq lists it as uncharacterized. Lineage: Eukaryota; Metazoa; Chordata; Mammalia; Diprotodontia; Phascolarctidae. The record is from RefSeq and is a predicted model, not a curated record.
CAAACAGCCAGCCUCUCCGGCAAAGCAAGAAUGGAGUAAGCGAAGUCCAGCAGCACCACCUCCCUCCUUGUCCGGAAACUGUGGGCCAAGUCUACCAUGACCACUCGUAGAAGCACUCAUCUUCCUCAGCCUGUUCCCUCCUCAAUCAUCCUCCUCAACCAAAGUUGCCAUUCCAAGUUAUGGGUCCCAUGCUCAGAUAAUGGAGUGUGAGACGGAGUCCUGAACAGUCUCGUGUGAUUCCUUCUGCCUAGAGAGAACUCUACCAACCCAGGCUUCGCUACCUUUUGAGCUGAAUUUGAAAGUCCAAAAACAGAUGAUAAUGUUUAACAACAAACGUUCAGAAAACAAAAGUUGAUGAGAUUCAGGUUGGUGAAAGGCCUCUGUCUCUAUUGGAGCCAUAGGGAGCCUGAGUUCAUUUUACAGUCUUUACUCACAUUUUAGAAAGAAUUUAGUUCCUUGGCUAGAACCCAGCCAUAGAAGGGUGAUCAGGAUGACAAGGGGACUAGAACCCACAAAGCUUUCUGGGAUCUAUCACUGUCUUCAGAAGGGCUGUCAUGGGGGAGAAGAAGUAGACUUCCUCUGUGUGGCUCCAAAGGGCAGAGCUGCAAGUGAUAGGUAGAAAUUCUAGGGAGUCACACUUUGGUUCAAUGGGAGGAAGAACUUCCUAAUCACCUGGGCCAUUUUCUUGACCUCUGCUCUGCCUACAGCUGUACCCUCCAGACCACUGGACCUUGCCAUCCACCCUGCAGCCAAGGUGCUCUCCCCCCUCACCCCAUCCCUGUUUGCCACUUAGUACCUUAAUCAAAUCAAUGCUGCCCUUGAUCCUGGGAAGGCCUAGUCAAUCUAAUCCCCUAUGGCUUUACAGGUCAAGCAGGUGGCUUCCCAAACCAAAAUACCCCUUCCUCACUACCGAUCUCCUGUUUUGUGUUUCCCCCUUUAUAGAAGGUAAGC